Molecule: ribosomal RNA, 225 nt
Filed under: uncultured bacterium
Lineage: Bacteria
Description: partial 16S ribosomal RNA
Rfam family: Bacterial small subunit ribosomal RNA
Source: RNAcentral
ACGCUCGACACCUACGGGGGCAGCAGUAGGGAAUCUUCCGCAAUGGACGAAAGUCUGACGGAGCAACGCCGCGUGAACGAUGAAGGUUUUCGGAUCGUAAAGUUCUGUUGUUAGGGAAGAACAAACUUCGUUUGAAUAAGGCGGAGUCAUGACGGUACCUAACGAGAAAGCCACGGCUAACUACGUGCCAACAGCCGCGGUAAUACUGAGCGGGCGUGGCAAGGC